RNAcentral lists this unclassified non-coding RNA (149 nucleotides) under fungal sp. RNAcentral's name for it is "partial internal transcribed spacer region". The stretch from base 1 to 46 matches the Rfam family "Eukaryotic small subunit ribosomal RNA", at positions 1786 to 1831 of the family's 1831-position model. Lineage: Eukaryota; Fungi. The record is from RNAcentral.
AAGUCGUAACAAGGUUUCCGUAGGUGAACCUGCGGAAGGAUCAUUAAAGAGAAAAACAAUAGACACUGUGCACGAAAAAAUACAUUAUAAGAUUAUAGCUGAAGUAAAUAAAAUAAAAACAACUUUUAGCAACGGAUCUCUAGGUUCUC